Molecule: long non-coding RNA, 431 nt
Organism: Drosophila nasuta
Lineage: Eukaryota; Metazoa; Arthropoda; Insecta; Diptera; Drosophilidae
Exons: 2
Source: RefSeq, a predicted model, not a curated record
UAAUCUAGUUUCCCUCGUCUUUUUUGUUAAGUCACAUACUUGUUUUGAAUAAUUCUCAUUUAAAAUUUUUAACAAGAAGCCUAAACAUUUCUCGGAAUAAUUGUUUUAAAAAAUGCAUGGAGUUAUAAUAUUUCUUAUCGGCGGUAUUGUUGGUUUUCUAAUUGCUAAAAACAUUGAUCGUCUCCAAAUAGAUUUGAGAAGUUGAAGUUUAAAUACCAGAAAAAAUGACGCAUCUUAUAUCCUUUGCCCUAGGCAUUGUAGUUGGCAUGAUGGUCUCGAGAAGAUGCAAUCCAUAAUCGAAACGAACAAAAUUUAAUAAUGUUGUAAGAUGCUUGAAUGAAAAUGGAAAUUUACUAACUUUGCCACAAAGCUAAUUCGAGUCUCUUAAUUCAUUAAAAUUGAGCAUAAAGUUGAUGCUGUGUAUCGAUGGC